CUAACACGUGCUAUAACAUGCCCUAAGGUGGGGGAUAAUCUCGGGAAACUGAGGAUAAUACCCCAUAGGUCUUCUAUGCUGGAAUGCUCGAAGGCCGAAAACUCCGGUGCCUUAGGAUUGGUCUGCGGCCUAUCAGGCAGUAGUGGGUGUAAUGGACCCACUAGCCCGUGACGGGUAUGGGCCUUGAGAGAGGGAGCCCAGAGAUGGACUCUGAGACAUGAGUCCAGGCCCUACGGGGCGCAGCAGUCGCGAAAACUUCGCAAUGGGGGCAACCCCGACGAGGGAAUUCCAAGUGCCAGCACUUUGUGUUGGCUGUUCUCUUGUCUAAAAAACAAGAGGAGUAAGGGGCGGGUAAGACGGGUGCCAGCCGCCGCGGUAAUACCCGCGCCCCAAGUGGUGGUCGAUAUUAUUGAGCCUAAAACGUCCGUAGCCGGUCUUUUAAAUCCUUGGGUAAAUCGGGCAGCUUAACUGUCCGACUUCCGAGGAGACUGGAAGACUUGGGACCGGGAGAGGUCAGAGGUACUUCUGGGGUAGGGGUAAAAUCCUGUAAUCCUGGAAGGACCACCGGUGGCGAANGCGUCUGACUAGAACGGAUCCGACGGUGAGGGACGAAGCCCUGGGGCGCAAACGGGAUUAGAUACCCCGGUAGUCCAGG
RNAcentral lists this ribosomal RNA (655 nucleotides) under uncultured methanogenic archaeon. RNAcentral's name for it is "bacterial SSU rRNA". It matches the Rfam family "Archaeal small subunit ribosomal RNA", at positions 93 to 750 of the family's 1478-position model. The record is from RNAcentral. Lineage: Archaea; Methanobacteriati; Methanobacteriota.